This 274-nucleotide ribosomal RNA is filed under the name uncultured bacterium. RNAcentral describes it as "partial 16S ribosomal RNA". It matches the Rfam family "Bacterial small subunit ribosomal RNA", at positions 523 to 796 of the family's 1533-position model. The record is from RNAcentral.
AUACAGAGGUGGCAAGCGUUGCUCGGUAUCACUGGGCUUAAAGGGCGCGUAGGCGGCGCGGUACGGUUCGGGUGAAAUCCCUCGGCUCAACCGAGGAACUGCCUGGGCUACGGCCGCGCUAGACAGCAUCAGGGGAAGGUGGAACUCCAGGUGGAGCGGUGAAAUGUGUAGAUAUCUGGAGGAACGCCGGUGGCGAAAGCGACCUUCUGGGGUGCUUGUGACGCUGAGGCGCGAAAGCUAGGGGAGCGAACGGGAUUAGAAACCCCAGUAGUCC